RNAcentral lists this ribosomal RNA (168 nucleotides) under uncultured bacterium. Its description in RNAcentral is "partial 16S rRNA". It matches the Rfam family "Bacterial small subunit ribosomal RNA", at positions 352 to 511 of the family's 1533-position model. The record is from RNAcentral.
CAGUAGGGAAUCUUCCACAAUGGGCGCAAGCCUGAUGGAGCAACACCGCGUGAGUGAAGAAGGGUUUCGGCUCGUAAAACUCUGUUGUAAGAGAAGAACGUGUGUGAGAGUGGAAAGUUCACACAGUGACGGUAACUUACCAGAAAGGGACGGCUAACUACGUGCCAG